UUUAAAUAGUUUAAUUAAAAUAUCAGUUUGUGGGACUGAUGAUAUUGUGUUAUUUUAAAUUA
Molecule: transfer RNA, 62 nt
Filed under: Coleoptera sp. ACP-2013
Lineage: Eukaryota; Metazoa; Arthropoda; Insecta; Coleoptera
Description: tRNA-His
Source: RNAcentral